UUAGCCUUUAAAUCCAGUCCCGUGAGGCUGGCAAGGCAAGGACAAUCUGGCUAUAGCUAUAUAAAUAUGUCUGUUAGCCUAAGCUCCUGCCUGCCGCCUUGCGGAAAAAGCAGGAGCUUUUAUUA
Molecule: non-coding RNA, 125 nt
Organism: Thermobaculum terrenum ATCC BAA-798
Lineage: Bacteria; Bacillati; Chloroflexota; Chloroflexia; Thermobaculales (SeqCode); Thermobaculaceae (SeqCode)
Source: Rfam